RNAcentral lists this ribosomal RNA (492 nucleotides) under uncultured bacterium. RNAcentral's name for it is "partial 16S ribosomal RNA". It matches the Rfam family "Bacterial small subunit ribosomal RNA", at positions 29 to 507 of the family's 1533-position model. The record is from RNAcentral.
AGUGAACGCUGGCGGUAGGCCUAACACAUGCAAGUCGAACGGCAGCACAGUAAGAGCUUGCUCUUACGGGUGGCGAGUGGCGGACGGGUGAGGAAUACAUCGGCAUCUACUUUUUCGUGGGGGAUAACGUAGGGAAACUUACGCUAAUACCGCAUACGACCUACGGGUGAAAGCAGGGGAUCUUCGGACCUUGCGCGAAUGAAUGAGCCGAUGUCGGAUUAGCUAGUUGGCGGGGUAAAGGCCCACCAAGGCGACGAUCCGUAGCUGGUCUGAGAGGAUGAUCAGCCACACUGGAACUGAGACACGGUCCAGACUCCUACGGGAGGCAGCAGUGGGGAAUAUUCGACAAUGGGCGCAAGCCUGAUCCAGCCAUACCGCGUGGGUGAAGAAGGCCUUCGGGUUGUAAAGCCCUUUUGUUGGGAAAGAAAAGCAGCAGGUUAAUACCCCGCUGUUCUGACGGUACCCAAAGAAUAAGCACCGGCUAACUUCGUG